UUCGAGUGGCGGACGGGUGAGUAACGCGUGGGCAACCUGGCCUGUACAGGGGGAUAACACUUAGAAAUAGGUGCUAAUACCGCAUAACGGGGGAAGCCGCAUGGCUUUUCCCUGAAAACUCCGGUGGUACAGGAUGGGCCCGCGUCUGAUUAGCCAGUUGGCAGGGUAACGGCCUACCAAAGCGACGAUCAGUAGCCGGCCUGAGAGGGCGGACGGCCACACUGGGACUGAGACACGGCCCAGACUCCUACGGAAGGCAGCAG
RNAcentral lists this ribosomal RNA (263 nucleotides) under uncultured bacterium. RNAcentral's name for it is "partial 16S ribosomal RNA". It matches the Rfam family "Bacterial small subunit ribosomal RNA", at positions 90 to 354 of the family's 1533-position model. The record is from RNAcentral.